This 607-nucleotide long non-coding RNA is filed under the name Elaeis guineensis (African oil palm). RNAcentral describes it as "long non-coding RNA (EGUI_LNC082294)". The record is from RNAcentral. Lineage: Eukaryota; Viridiplantae; Streptophyta; Magnoliopsida; Arecales; Arecaceae.
CGCCAGCUCAACUUCAAGAGAGUUGAUCUUGGAAGUCUGAGUCCAAGAUCGAUCACUGGUGCAUUUUCAGAGUUUCUCAAGCUCCGCCAUGAAGUCGGCCUUCCUCCGGGUGUAUUCCAUGAAACCCUUUUUGUGGAGGUCCCGAAAGCGAGUAGCCUCUGCAGUGACUUCCGAAUGGCUCUUCUUCAGUCGUUGAAGUUCGUCAUCCAGCUUCUUGAAUUUCUCUGUCAAGUGAUGAACUUCCCUUCUGAGGUCCCGGAUCAUCGACUUUAAAGGAAUCUCCUGUGGUAGGGAAAGAGCUUCGGCAGGGCACUGUCGUUGGGAGACAAGAGCGUCACGACUCAAAUUAGUGCAAGAAGACAAAAGAGAAGGAAAAGAAUGUAGAAGAAGAAAAAAGAGCUCUCUGUAAAAAAGAAUCUAAUUUCAUUGAUUAAAUAGUUUUUAAGUACAAAAGAACAAAGAAAAGUUGCCACAAAGAAAAAAUACAAAAUCAGAGGUUUCGGAUCUCUGGGACAGAAGUGGAGGAGCUCGGUGCCCUCGGAAGGUCGGUCAUGGCAACCGUGGCAAUCGAGGACGUCCCAGUUGGAGGAGGAUCGACAGUGGCUUC